Molecule: transfer RNA, 72 nt
Filed under: Bubalornis albirostris
Lineage: Eukaryota; Metazoa; Chordata; Aves; Passeriformes; Ploceidae
Description: tRNA-Glu
Source: RNAcentral
GUUCCUAUAGUUAAAGUAUAUAACGACGGCUUUUCGGGCCGUAGGUCUCGGAUGAGGGCCCGAGUAGGAAUU